This 467-nucleotide ribosomal RNA is filed under the name uncultured bacterium. RNAcentral's name for it is "bacterial SSU rRNA". It matches the Rfam family "Bacterial small subunit ribosomal RNA", at positions 926 to 1391 of the family's 1533-position model. The record is from RNAcentral.
CAAGCGGUGGAGCAUGUGGUUUAAUUCGACGCAACGCGAAGAACCUUACCCAGACUUGACGUUGAUAGAAUCCCUUGGAAACUUGGGAGUACUCUUCGGAGACUUGAAAACAGGUGCCGCAUGGCUGUCGUCAGCUCGUGUCGUGAGAUGUUGGGUUAAGUCCCGCAACGAGCGCAACCCUUGCCGUUAGUUGCCAUCAGGUAAUGCUGGGCACUCUAACGGGACUGCCGGUGUCAAACCGGAGGAAGGUGGGGAUGACGUCAAGUCCUCAUGGCCUUUAUGUCUGGGGCUACACACGUGCUACAAUGGCAGGUACAAACCGCUGCGAACUCGCAAGGGGAGGCAAAUCGGAAAAAACCUGUCUCAGUUCGGAUCGGAGUCUGCAACUCGACUCCGUGAAGUUGGAAUCGCUAGUAAUCGUGGAUCAGCAUGCCACGGUGAAUACGUUCCCGGGCCUUGUACACACC